RNAcentral lists this ribosomal RNA (531 nucleotides) under uncultured bacterium. RNAcentral's name for it is "bacterial SSU rRNA". It matches the Rfam family "Bacterial small subunit ribosomal RNA", at positions 777 to 1320 of the family's 1533-position model. The record is from RNAcentral.
AAUAGAUACCCAGGUAGUCCUAGCCGUAAACGAUGAACACUAGGCGUAGUCGGUAUCGACCCCGGCUGUGCCGUAGCUAACGCAUUAAGUGUUCCGCCUGGGGAGUACGGCCGCAAGGCUAAAACUCAAAGGAAUUGACGGGGGCCCGCACAAGCAGCGGAGCGUGUGGUUUAAUUCGUCGCAACGCGAAGAACCUUACCAGGGCUUGACAUGUGGCGGAAAACGGCGGAAACGUCGUCCUCCCGCAAGGGACCGUCAUGCAGGUGUUGCAUGGCUGUUGUCAGCUCGUGUCGUGAGAUGUUGGGUUAAGUCCCGCAACGAGCGCAACCCCCGUGGCAUGUUGUAUCUCUCAUGCCAGACUGCCGAGAGAAACUCGGAGGAAGGUGGGGAUGACGCCAAGUCAGCAUGGCCCUUACGUCCUGGGCUACACACACGCUACAAUGGCCGGUACAACGGGUUGCCAAACCGCGAGGUGGAGCUAAUCCCUUAAAGCCGGUCUCAGUUCGGAUUGCAGGCUGCAACUCGCCUGCA